CCGAACAGUCUAUUUUGCUAUUCACCAGUAAUAUUUCUGGUGCGUUUGUUUGUUUUUCAUCCAAAGCUUGACGUCUUACACUCAUUU
RNAcentral lists this small RNA (87 nucleotides) under Vibrio cholerae O1 biovar El Tor str. N16961. Lineage: Bacteria; Pseudomonadati; Pseudomonadota; Gammaproteobacteria; Vibrionales; Vibrionaceae. The record is from RNAcentral.